Molecule: non-coding RNA, 71 nt
Organism: Arachnomyces sp. PD_36
Lineage: Eukaryota; Fungi; Ascomycota; Eurotiomycetes; Onygenales; Arachnomycetaceae
Source: the annotation of a GenBank genome assembly
UUCUUAUUAGCUUAAUGGUAAAGCGGAAUACUUCUAAUAUUUUAAUCUUAGUUCGAAUCUGGGAUAAGAAU